Molecule: long non-coding RNA, 6664 nt
Filed under: Setaria italica (foxtail millet)
Lineage: Eukaryota; Viridiplantae; Streptophyta; Magnoliopsida; Poales; Poaceae
Description: long non-coding RNA (SITA_LNC000996)
Source: RNAcentral
UUUGCCUAGUUUUUAUGAUUAUUCCUUGCCAACCUGGGUUUACCUUUCUGUUGGGUAGCUAUGCUUAGCUGCUAUACUUGGGUUAUGGUGGUUCUAAUGAACAAAGAUGAUGAACCUAUUUUAUUUAUGCUACACCUUCCUUUAAUACAAGAUCACUGUGAUUAAUUGGAACAUGGAGAACCACCCAGGAAAACAGUGCUACCACAAGACUAAAUGGCCCUGGUCUUGGUUGAAUAAUUAGAAACUCUAGUUUGGGGUAACCUUACCGAAAGGGCAAGAGGGGAGGCGUUGAUGGGAUAUAGCACUCGCUCUCUUGGGAAGUGGGCUUGGCUAAGACACUAUACCCUCUAGGGGACUGCUAUGUUUCGCUUCGACCUGAAACCUUAGCGGGUUACCACAUUGCUAGCGAAUCUUUGUAAAGGCCUCGUAGCGUCCCUAUGCAAUCACACCUCGGAAGUGUGGUAUUGUGCCUGAUCAGCACAAGCGUGGUUGGGUCUAAAGUUCUUUUGAGCUUUUACGCGACUUGUGGGUAAAGAUGUGCGACCUCUGCAGAGUGUAAAACUGAUCGAUCAGCCGUGCUCACGGUUAAGAGCGGCCUGGACCCUCACAUGAGUAAUAUACUUGAAGAUGGAUUUAAAUUGUGGUUUAUGCUAUGGUUAUGGUUGUGCCAUAUGCUUAUGGCUUAUAUUUAUGUUUAUAUUAAUUGUGGGUUGGUAUAUACUUAUACCUUAGUAAUCAGGUGCUAAUAAAAUUUGACCAACUAAAAAUGCUUAAUGCAGUCAACCAGUCAGCCUUUCCUUGUUUAACCCUUGCAUUCAUAUUCUCCUCACACUUGCUGAGUACGACAAGUGCUCACCCUUGCUAUAAACAACGUUGCUCAGAAGAAGAAGCUGCUAUGAAGUUGAGAAGAUGCUGAGUUCUAGGCGUACGCAACCCCCAGUCGAUUGCCUGUGAAGUUUGGAGCCUCCGUUUCCAGUGUUUAAGCUGUGUAUCUCUGAUGGUUUGUAAGUCUUUAUUUGUAUCUUUUCACGUGAUACUGUUGCUGUUAUUCACUAUAUGUAUGAAAUUUGAUCCUGGCAUACAUAUAGGUAGCAUUCGGUUUUGCCUUUAAAACCGGGUGUGACAGAAGUGGUAUCAGAGCCGUAUCGACUGUAGGACGUAAGCCUAGAUAGCAAUGGUCACUUCCUAAGGUCUAUUUUACUAUAUAAACAAUUCCUGCCUUAUCCUUGACCUUUCUGAAAAAUAUUCUCACUCCUUGAUCAUUUUCUUUUCUCAAUCCUCCUUGAUAACUUGAGCUCUUUUCAUUUGCACUUCUUGUCUUGCAAAUGUUAGACCCUCAAUCCUUGUCUAUUUAUUUCCUCUCUCCUUGAUCACUGCUUGAUCUUGAUCAUGCAUCUCCUUCUUGAUGAAUGAUCUUACCUGUUUGAUGCAAUACACCUCCUUGAUUUCUUAGUGAUGUUGCUACUCUCUAAUCCCCUGUUCAUUUAUCUCCUUAAUAUUUUCCUUACUUACUUAUCCUUGUAAACCUAUCUCUUCCUUAACUUUAUUUUUAGUAUAUCCAUCUUCCCCAUUGUACCUCUCGUUGCUUUUCAAAUAAAUGCUACCUUGGAAUCUUUUCCUUGACUUUUUCCAAAAUGUCUCGUUUUAUUCAAAAAUAUCUAGAUGAUCCAUGCCACCUGUCUUAAAGCCUGUUCAAGACAUCUGAAGAAUGGAGUUACCAGUUCACCACUAGAAGUCAAGCCUGAGCAAUUGAAACAUGCACCAAACAUCUGGAGUCAAUGCUGGGCAAGCUGAAGGAUGCCUACAUCAAGUACGUUGAAGUCUUACCAAACAACCCCUGCUUAGGAGUACCCCUUGUAGCCUUAUUAACAACGUUUAGCCUCGUUUCUUGACUCUGUGUUGACUGGUGGAAUUCUGUGUUUGCAUGAUGAUGCUUGUCUUUAUGAAAUUGUCUGAUUUGUUUCUUUGUAAUGAUUGUUGGUGUAUUGUGGGUCUUCUAUCUACAAUGACAUCAGUUGCCUAGCUAGGUUCUUCUUUUGAAUCUCCCAUAUCCUUGUCGUCCAUUCCCUUCUACCCGAGCCAAUGAAGGACAUCAGAAAAGAGGGAACUAAAGUCAACACCGACAUCAACAAGCAGGAGUUAACAUCACCACCACUGUCUCGCUAGAAGCAAGUUGAAGAAUAGAAGGCUUUACUCUGAUCUCCAUCUUACUCUAAUGAUGAUUAGAAGAACCAAAGAAGAUGAAGAAAGCAGGGAGAUUCUACUCUCGAUAAGCAAAGAUGGAAGACUAUCCACUCUACCAUAAGGAACUUGUUGUCUCCCACCUCUUUGUUUUCUUUCUCUCUUCGAAUCUGCUUGUACCUCCCACAUCCUUGUUGUUUUUCUUUCUAUCUCCCAAUUCUGAUGGACAUCACGAAGAGAGUGAAGGCAACACCAAUGCCAACAAGCGGAGGCUAUCGCCACCAUCACCGUCGAAAUAGAAGCAAGCCGAAGAAAAGAAGGCCCUAGCCUAGAUUUCUUGCCACCUCGCUACUUUCUAUCCUUCCUUCUACCUUACUCGGAUGAUGACCCAAGAAAAGACGAUGAUAUCAUGAAGUGCUCUACCUUGUUCUGCAAUUUUAUCCAUUUCCUAUUUUCUUCUGACCCUAUCUUUAUCACCCAACCAAAUAGCGAGUCCCAAUGAAAAUCAUGAAGAUAGAGCCAAUGAAGGAGAUCUUAACAUUCCACCUGUAUCCGCAUUAUUUGAAUGCAAGGUGUUAGAGUAUAUGGCAACACAAAGUCGGACUUUACAAGCAAUGGCUCAAACCAUGGUCAGUAUCCAUCAGUAUAUCACAGAGCACGUCUCACUCCCUCGAAACCACAACCAUUGGCAGAUAACAGUACUCAGCCUAGUUCCCACCAACUAUAGCCUAAAGUUGUUCACCAUCCACGUGGCAACCCCAUCAAGAAGAGUCCCAAUGCGCAAGCUAUUCCACCGAUAGCUACCAUGGAGCAGAAAGGAAGACAAGAAGGAUGUAAUAAAAGAUUGUGCUUCAGAUGCGGUGAAGAAGGCCAUUAUACCAAUAACUAUCCAAUAAAGUGUAAGUGGACCAGGUCCGUUGGAGCCAAAAUAUAUUGCCUCUAUUGUGGAGAAAAUAGACAUCUUGACUAGUCGGUAUGCAAAAGAGAAGGAUGAUCAACCCCAGGACCAAGGACCCAAAAGCCCUGCCUUCAACCCGACAACAUCAGUUGGCCUCUUUGUCAGGACGAAUGAUCAAGACGCCUCAGUCAGGAAAGAAUGCCAUCAGUUACCAAAGCCCAACUCUCAUACCACAUCCAGUCUCCAAGAUACCAAAGCAAGAAAAACAUGUUUCUACUGCAAGGAAGAGGGACAUUUCAUUAGUUAAUGCUCCGAGAAGCGUUUGGACCAGAUGGAUAAGAAGACUCAAGGAUGUGUAUGAAGACUUGAAGGGUGACAGUCGAGCCAGAGGGAAGUAAUUCAGCUCUAUUCAAAUCACUUUACCAAGAAAUGAAGAAAAUUCUUCGAAGAUGGGCCAAAGAAGCAGAGUGAAGGAAAGGAUAUUUAAAAGAGGAAUUAGACUAAGUAUCCCUGAAGUGUUUUAUGUGAUGUAGUGAAGCAUAAAGAAGCAUGAUUGAGAAGCUUACGUAAGGAUGAACGAUCUAGGAAGAAGCUAAUAAGUGUUGGAUGCUACCCACCUAAACCUUUGUCUCUUGCUAGCCUUUGCGAAUCUCGGGACGAGAUUCUUGUUAGGGGGGUAGUGUUGUCACACCCUGAAAUUUCCGAAUUUCAGGAUGUGAAUAAAAAGAAUAAAUAAACAAUAAUUUUCUCAUAAUUUUAAAAUUUUCCCAACAUUUAUUUUUCUUUACAGGAAAUUUAGUAUAGGAAAAAUAAUUGUUUGCUUUUAUAAAUUAAAUAAUGUUGUUCUAUGUCUGUGCAUUCAUGUCACUGCAUCUUGGCGUUUCUUGAGUGCAAAAGUUUGAAAAAUGCGUUUAGACGUUGUCCAGACCCUUGUGAGAAUUUUCCAUCUUUUUCCGGAAAUUAUUCUCCUUUUUCCUAGAGCUAAAUCUAAUUUUUAGAAGGCUCUAGAAUCCUUUUCAUGAGCUCCAAGUAUUUUAUUUGGAUUCUUUGUGUCCCAAUCCAUCUCUGAGAUUUAUCUCAGAUUUUUCGGAAUUUUCUAGGUAUUUUUCUCGCUUUAGAAAACGAGUCCAGCUAUUUCUGGAAUUGUUUUCGCGGAGAUAAAUAAAAUCAGAAAUUCCGAAAAUAAAAAGUCAACUCGAAAAUAUCUUUUUCCGAGUGUGGCCUAUAUAUAUAUCACCGCGUUCGUCUCGACGCGAGGAUUUCAGAUCUACAAACCUUUUCGCGAGUUACCUCUCCUAACUCCGUAGAUCUGAAGUCAAAGUUCGGUCUUCGUCAAACUCCGGCGAGCUUUUCCGGCGAAACCGUGGACUUCCGGCAAAAACCGACACCACCAUGGAGUUCCUCUCUUCGAGCUCUACGCCGUGGUGUGGUGGAUUGCAUGAAUCCGAUGUCGGCUCCGUCGUCUUCCCCAACGCCGGCGAGCUUUUCCGCCACCAUUGUUCAUCUCUUGCCGAAGGUGAGCACACCAUCUUGUUCGCCUCGUCGAUAUCGUUCCAUUUUACCGUUCAUGCGCGAGAUCGGACUUCGUUUCCGCCUACCCCUCCUUCUCUCUCUCCCUCCCUCCUGUUUCUUUUCUUUCUGUACGCAACUGAAACCAUCGGUGCCGGUCCGUUCGUCCUGCUCGCCCGGCCAUCUUCCGCUCGCUUGUGCUGUCGCCGCGCGCACUGCCUCCCUGCGCAUUGCGCCGCACCACCGCCACCGGCUCACGCGCCGGCCGUCGCCCCUGCGCCGCCGCCUGUGCGCCGCCGGAGCCGCCGGCCGAGCCUCCCUGCUGGUGCCUUCACCCGCCGCCCGCGCUCCUGGCCUAGCCCCGGCCCCGGCCGCCGUCGCCGGCCAGCGCCGCCGGAAAGCCCAGGAGGGCCGGUCGGGCAGUUCAACCGUGAGGUUGAAGAUGAGUUGGUGAUUUUGCUAUUAGGCCCCUGAGGAAAACUCAAAUUUUCAGCUUAUUUCUUGUGUCUUGGCAACUUUACAGAAAACCCCUCGAUCCUUCCGGUCCCAUUCAAUUUAAACCGAGCCUCAAAUCUUUUGGAUCUAACCCUGUUAUUUCUAUUAUUUGCGAGCACUAUUCAUGGUGUCUUGCAAAUUUUCCUUGCUAACCCCUGAGGUCUACGGUUAAUUAUGUUUAGGCUCCUACAACCUUGUUUAACCCACAGAAUCUACGUUUUAAUUUCGUUUUCGUCCGUUCAAGUUGCGUUAGAUUCCUAAUGAUGUAAAUUAUACGUUAGUGGUAAUGUUUUCCUUCACACAUAUUUUUGAAAAUAAAAUUUAUAUUAAAAUUGAUUAAUGCUGUCAAACGAGUUCUUUUCUAAUAAAAUCUAUUUAGUGUUAAACAUCGUUUUUCAUAAUAAUUAUUAAUUUGAUUAAUGCCUACUUCAUACCCUCUUCUAAAUAAAAGCCAAUUAGGUUAUAUAUCGGUUUUUCAUAAACUAAAGUUAAUUUGGUUAAUGCCUAUCUAAAUAAUUCUUCCAAUUAAAAGCCACUUAGAGUUAUACCUCGGCGUUUCAUAAAUUAAAUUCAAUUUGAUUAAUGUUUAUUCAAUUUGUUUUCUAAAUAAAAUCUAUAUAGGUUAUAUCUCGAGUUUUCAUAAUUAAAUAUUAAUUUGGCUAAUAUAAAUAUGAAUGUGUUUUUAAUUUAAUCUACUUAGUUGAACUCGAGAUGUAAAGCUAUACGCUUAGAUGUCUACAUGUAUCUUAUUUUUAAAUUAAAUGUUUAAUUUGCAUAAAUUGUACUCAAAUAUUUAUAAAUAAAAUUGGACUAAGCUUUACACCGUCUUUUCUUAUGAAAAUAUAAAUAUGACUUGAUUAAUUCUAACUAAGGAUAUUUCUCUGAAAUAUCUUUACAUUGCUUUUCUCAACCAAAAUAAAUAAAGCUUGUAGCUCUUAUCUUUCUUUUAUAAUUCAAAACUCUCGAUAGCUUUAUCUUUUCAACCAUAGUUCCGUUUUAAGCGUUCCUUACGUUCGCGUGACCUUAGAUCGAGCCUUGUCGUUAGUACGCUCUCUUAAAGCUUUCCUUUUGUUUUGGUGUACUGCUCUUAGUUGUAUUUGUUUGCUUGCUUGUAUGACCGUGCCGGUGAUUGCUUCGAGUAGAAGGAUCACUGUUCGAAAGCUUUGAAGAUUAAGAGUUUCAAGAGAGCAAGAGCCAAAGAGCAGUAAGAAGUAACUUGUCGCUGGAGAAAGGCAAGUGUGUCCUUGUGCUUUUGUCCCAAUAACUUUAUUUAAUCACUAUUGCAUAUGCUUGCAUUAAAUUUGAUGGGUCCUAUUAAGGUUUGCCUAGUUUUUAUGAUUAUUCCUUGCCAACCUGGGUUUACCUUUCUGUUGGGUAGCUAUGCUUAGCUGCUAUACUUGGGUUAUGGUGGUUCUAAUGAACAAAGAUGAUGAACCUAUUUUAUUUAUGCUACACCUUCCUUUAAUACAAGAUCACUGUGAUUAAUUGGAACAUGGAGAACCACCCAGGAAAACAGUGCUACCACAAGACUAAAUGGCUCUGGUCUUGGCUGAAUAAUUAGAAACUCUAGUUUGGGGUAAC